GGAUGCGAUCAUACCAGUACUAAUGCACUGGAUCCCAUCAGAAUUCCGCAGACAAGCGUGCUUGGGCGAGAGUAGUACUAGAAUGGGUGACCUCCCGGGAAGUCCUCGUGUUGCAUCCC
This 119-nucleotide ribosomal RNA is filed under the name Arabidopsis suecica. The record is from RNAcentral. Lineage: Eukaryota; Viridiplantae; Streptophyta; Magnoliopsida; Brassicales; Brassicaceae.